RNAcentral lists this ribosomal RNA (447 nucleotides) under uncultured bacterium. Its description in RNAcentral is "bacterial SSU rRNA". It matches the Rfam family "Bacterial small subunit ribosomal RNA", at positions 29 to 472 of the family's 1533-position model. The record is from RNAcentral.
AUUGAACGCUGGCGGCAGGCCUAACACAUGCAAGUCGGGCGGUAACACGGGGAGCUUGCUCCCGGGUGACGAGCGGCGGACGGGUGAGUAAUGUCUGGGAAACUGCCUGAUGGAGGGGGAUAACUACUGGAAACGGUAGCUAAUACCGCAUAACGUCGCAAGACCAAAGAGGGGGGACCUUCGGGCCUCUUGCCAUCAGAUGUGCCCAGAUGGGAUUAGCUAGUAGGUGGGGUAACGGCUCACCUAGGCGACGAUCCCUAGCUGGUCUGAGGGGAUGACCAGCCACACUGGAACUGAGACACGGUCCAGACUCCUACGGGAGGCAGCAGUGGGGAAUAUUGCACAAUGGGCGCAAGCCUGAUGCAGCCAUGCCGCGUGUAUGAAGAAGGCCUUGGGUUCGUAAGGUACUUUCAGCGGGGAGGAGGUAGUUGUGGUAUAACACAGCAA